CUGCUCUCCUUUCUUCCUUGUGUCAGGAUCCUGAACUCGACCAUCUCAUGGUCACUGCCUCCCAGGUUCCCAUCCACUUUUGCUUUCCCUAUUAAUUCUUCCCUGUUUGUGAGCAGCAGGUCAAGAAGAGCUCUGCCCCUAGUUGGUUCCUCUAGCACUUGCACCAGGAAAUUGUCCCCUACACUUUCCAAAAACUUCCUGGAUUGUCUGUGCACCACUGUAUUGCUCUCCCAGCAGAUAUCAGGGUGAUUGAAGUCUCUGAUGAGAACCAGGGCCUGUGAUCUAGUAACUUCUGUUAGUUGCUGGAAGAAAGCCUCGUCCACCUCAUCCCCCUGAUCUGGUGGUCUAUAGCAGACUCCCACCACAACAUCCCCUUGUUGCUCACACUUCUAAACUUAAUCCAGAGACUCAGGUUUUUCUGCAGUUUCAUACCAGAGCUCUGAGCAGUCCAUAGUGCUCUCUUGCAUACAACGCAACUCCCCCACCUUUUCUGCCCUGCCUGUCCUUCCUGAACAGUUUAUAUCCAUCCAUGACAGUACUCCAGUCAUGUGAGUUAUCCCACCAAGUCUCUGUUAAUCCAAUCACAUCAUAAUUCCUUGACUGUGCCAGGACUCCCAGUUCUCCCUGCUUGUUUCCCAGGCUUCUUGCAUUUGUGUAUAGGCACUUAAGAUAACUCGCUGAUCGUCCAGCUUUCUCAGUAUGAUGCAGAGUCCUCCCCUCUUGCGCUCUCCUGCUUGUGCUUCCUCCCUGUAUCCCACCUCCCCACUUACCUCAGGGCUUUGGUCUCCUUCCCCCGGUGAACCUAGUUUAAAGCCCUAUCAAUAAAUAAAUCUAGUUUAAAUACUAUCAAUAAAUAUUGGCAUGGGAAAGGGGGGAGUCAGGAAAAGACAAGAGUGAUACACACUACAAGGAGGGAGAGGAAACAAGAGGACAGUCUCAGGCCCAAUGAAUUUACAUCAAGCUGGAAAUCUUCCCCAAAGAAACAAGAAAUGCCCAGUCAAAUUGCACAUUUCACCUUGUUUUUAUGUAUUUAAUUGGCCAUUUCAAAAUUUUGAGGGUUUUUGUAGGAUCUCAGGCAUUUUCAUUAUUUGAUGUGAAUGGAGAAAAAAAGAGUGUUGAAAAUGGAGCACAUGAAAGGAGGGUGGAAAAAAAGCAGAAGAAAG
This 1163-nucleotide long non-coding RNA is filed under the name Chrysemys picta bellii (western painted turtle). RNAcentral's name for it is "lncRNA (ENSCPBG00000007556.1)". Lineage: Eukaryota; Metazoa; Chordata; Testudines; Emydidae. The record is from RNAcentral.